AGAGUUUGAUCCUGGCUCAGGACGAACGCUGGCGGCACGCUUAACACAUGCAAGUCGAACGAGAGAAGAGGAGCUUGCUUUUCUGAUCUAGUGGCGGACGGGUGAGUAACACGUGAGCAAUCUGCCUUUCAGAGGGGGAUACCGAUUGGAAACGAUCGUUAAUACCGCAUAACAUAAUUGAACCGCAUGAUUUGAUUAUCAAAGAUUUAUCGCUGAAAGAUGAGCUCGCGUCUGAUUAGCUAGUUGGUAAGGUAACGGCUUACCAAGGCGACGAUCAGUAGCCGGACUGAGAGGUUGAUCGGCCACAUUGGGACUGAGACACGGCCCAGACUCCUACGGGAGGCAGCAGUGGGGAAUAUUGCACAAUGGAGGAAACUCUGAUGCAGCGAUGCCGCGUGAGGGAAGAAGGUUUUAGGAUUGUAAACCUCUGUCUUCAGGGACGAAAAAAGACGGUACCUGGGGAGGAAGCUCCGGCUAACUACGUGCCAGCAGCCGCGGUAAUACGUAGGAGCGAGCGUUGUCCGGAAUUACUGGGUGUAAAGGGAGCGUAGGCGGGAUCGCAAGUCAGAUGUGAAAACUAUGGGCUUAACCCAUAAACUGCAUUUGAAACUGUGGUUCUUGAGUGAAGUAGAGGUAAGCGGAAUUCCUAGUGUAGCGGUGAAAUGCGUAGAUAUUAGGAGGAACAUCAGUGGCGAAGGCGGCUUACUGGGCUUUAACUGACGCUGAGGCUCGAAAGCGUGGGGAGCAAACAGGAUUAGAUACCCUGGUAGUCCACGCCGUAAACGAUGAUUACUAGGUGUGGGGGGACUGACCCCUUCCGUGCCGCAGCAAACGCAAUAAGUAAUCCACCUGGGGAGUACGACCGCAAGGUUGAAACUCAAAGGAAUUGACGGGGGCCCGCACAAGCAGUGGAGUAUGUGGAUUAAUUCGAAGCAACGCGAAGAACCUUACCAGGUCUUGACAUCGUAUGCAUAGCUCAGAGAUGAGUGAAAUCUCUUCGGAGACAUAUAGACAGGUGGUGCAUGGUUGUCGUCAGCUCGUGUCGUGAGAUGUUGGGUUAAGUCCCGCAACGAGCGCGACCCUUACUGUUAGUUGCUACGCAAGAGCACUCUAGCAGGACUGCCGUUGACAAAACGGAGGAAGGUGGGGAUGACGUCAAAUCAUCAUGCCCCUUAUGACCUGGGCCUCACACGUACUACAAUGGCUGUCAACAGAGGGAAGCAAAGCCGCGAGGUGGAGCGAACCCCUAAAAGCAGUCUUAGUUCGGAUUGUAGGCUGCAACCCGCCUACAUGAAGUCGGAAUUGCUAGUAAUCGCAGAUCAGCAUGCUGCGGUGAAUACGUUCCCGGGCCUUGUACACACCGCCCGUCACGC
This 1373-nucleotide ribosomal RNA is filed under the name metagenome. RNAcentral's name for it is "bacterial SSU rRNA". It matches the Rfam family "Bacterial small subunit ribosomal RNA". The record is from RNAcentral.